CUCACUGAACGUGAACGUAUUCGUAAAGAUUAGACGACGCUAACUAAUAAAACAUAAAAACAGAAUUUUAAAAUUUUUGUGAAACAAAAUAAAUAAUAUUUCGAAACAAUAACCUAACACAAAGUUCUAAACAUGACCAUUUACGCCAUAAUUGUGCAAAUAAUUUUAGUGUGUAACUAAAAACUAAAUUACAAAAUUGAAUAAACAAAAACAUUCUAAAACUAUUUUAAAUAAAAAAAAAACUCAAAAUGUUUCUUUCAACCUUUUAUGAUUCUCCGCAUUAUCAACAUGAAGAUCCCGAUGAGGAUAUGGUGGCAAAGAUACCUUCCAUAAUUGGCUUUCUUAAUUUGGAUUGAAACGUGUGGUCGAUGUUUAAUAUUUAGGUUUUUUUAUAUUUUUAAUUAUCAUAUGUAAUAUUUAAUUAUUAUAAGUCUAGAAUGUAAGAAAUUAAUAAACAACUGAUUUAAUAUAGUUAAUUAUUGUUAUGAAAUUGAUUCGUAUCAAUUUAAAUUGAACCGUUUUUGGCGGCUUGUACGGCAUAUUAUUGCCGUAGACAUUUUUAGAGUUGCUUACAGAGAGUUAUUAUAACUGUAACUGACGUUUAUUAUUUGCAAUAAAAAGUAAUCCAGUUUAUUUAAAUGAAAUAAAUCAUCGUUUUUAAAAGGUAAAAACGUAACAAUGAA
This is a long non-coding RNA of Calliphora vicina (urban bluebottle blowfly), 683 nucleotides long. RefSeq lists it as uncharacterized. Lineage: Eukaryota; Metazoa; Arthropoda; Insecta; Diptera; Calliphoridae. The transcript is spliced from 2 exons. The record is from RefSeq and is a predicted model, not a curated record.